RNAcentral lists this ribosomal RNA (460 nucleotides) under uncultured bacterium. RNAcentral describes it as "bacterial SSU rRNA". It matches the Rfam family "Bacterial small subunit ribosomal RNA", at positions 335 to 784 of the family's 1533-position model. The record is from RNAcentral.
ACUCCUACGGGAGGCAGCAGUAGGGAAUCUUCCACAAUGGGCGCAAGCCUGAUGGAGCAACACCGCGUGAGUGAAGAACGGGUUUCGGCUCGUAAAGCUCUGUUGUUAAAGAAGAACACGUAUGAGAGUAACUGUUCAUACGUUGACGGUAUUUAACCAGAAAGUCACGGCUAACUACGUGCCAGCAGCCGCGGUAAUACGGUAGGUGGCAAGCGUUAUCCGGAUUUAUUGGGCGUAAAGAGAGUGCAGGCGGUUUUCUAAGUCUGAUGUAGAAAGCCUUCGGCUUAACCGGAGAAGUGCAUCGGAAACUGGAUAACUUGAGUGCAGAAGAGGUAGUGGAACUCCAUGUGUAGCGGUGGAAUGCGUAGAUAUAUGGAAGAACACCAGUGGCGAAGGCGGCUACCUGGUCUGCAACUGACGCUGAGAACUCGAAAGCAUGGGUAGCGUACAGGAUUAGAUA